UACGUAGGUGGCGAGCGUUAUCCGGAAUUAUUGGGCGUAAAGCGCGCGCAGGCGGUUUCUUAAGUCUGAUGUGAAAGCCCACGGCUCAACCGUGGAGGGUCAUUGGAAACUGGGGAACUUGAGUGCAGAAGAGAAAAGCGGAAUUCCACGUGUAGCGGUGAAAUGCGUAGAGAUGUGGAGGAACACCAGUGGCGAAGGCGGCUUUUUGGUCUGUAACUGACGCUGAGGCGCGAAAGCGUGGGGAGCAAACAGG
This 253-nucleotide ribosomal RNA is filed under the name uncultured bacterium. RNAcentral describes it as "partial 16S ribosomal RNA". It matches the Rfam family "Bacterial small subunit ribosomal RNA", at positions 524 to 776 of the family's 1533-position model. The record is from RNAcentral.